AUUGCAUUUUCUUCAGACUGGGCCGUUGAUGUGUUCUUGUACAAUGCUAAGAACACUCUUUGACUUUGGUUUGAAGAAUUACAUGCAAU
Molecule: non-coding RNA, 89 nt
Organism: Haemonchus contortus (barber pole worm)
Lineage: Eukaryota; Metazoa; Nematoda; Chromadorea; Rhabditida; Trichostrongylidae
Source: Rfam